UACGUAGGGUGCGAGCGUUAAUCGGAAUUACUGGGCGUAAAGCGUGCGCAGGCGGUUUUGUAAGCCGGAUGUGAAAGCCCCGGGCUCAACCUGGGAAUUGCAUUCGAGACUGAAUAGCUAGGGUACGGUAGAGGGAAGUGGAAUUUCCGGUGUAGCGGUGAAAUGCGUAGGUAUCGGAAGGAACAUCAGUGGCGAAAGCGACUUCCUGGACCAGUGCCGACGUUCAGGCACGAAAGCGUGGGGAGCAAACAGG
This 253-nucleotide ribosomal RNA is filed under the name uncultured bacterium. RNAcentral's name for it is "partial 16S ribosomal RNA". It matches the Rfam family "Bacterial small subunit ribosomal RNA", at positions 524 to 776 of the family's 1533-position model. The record is from RNAcentral.